This 492-nucleotide ribosomal RNA is filed under the name uncultured bacterium. Its description in RNAcentral is "partial 16S ribosomal RNA". It matches the Rfam family "Bacterial small subunit ribosomal RNA", at positions 29 to 507 of the family's 1533-position model. The record is from RNAcentral.
AGUGAACGCUGGCGGUAGGCCUAACACAUGCAAGUCGAACGGCAGCACAGUAAGAGCUUGCUCUUACGGGUGGCGAGUGGCGGACGGGUGAGGAAUACAUCGGAAUCUACUUUUUCGUGGGGGAUAACGUAGGGAAACUUACGCUAAUACCGCAUAAGACCUACGGGUGAAAGCAGGGGAUCUUCGGACCUUGCGCGAUUGAAUGAGCCGAUGUCGGAUUAGCUAGUUGGCGGGGUAAAGGCCCACCAAGGCGACGAUCCGUAGCUGGUCUGAGAGGAUGAUCAGCCACACUGGAACUGAGACACGGUCCAGACUCCUACGGGAGGCAGCAGUGGGGAAUAUUGGACAAUGGGCGCAAGCCUGAUCCAGCCAUACCGCGUGGGUGAAGAAGGCCUUCGGGUUGUAAAGCCCUUUUGUUGGGAAAGAAAAGCAGCAGGUUAAUACCCCGCUGUUCUGACGGUACCCAAAGAAUAAGCACCGGCUAACUUCGUG